UAUAAAUUAAUAUACGAAAAGAAUUAUUAGAUUCAGCCAGUUUUUUAAAUAUAUGGACGUAUACAAUAAUAAAUAAAUAAAUAAAUAUUUCUCUUCUGUCUCGUUUCUGAUAAAGCAUUCGUGAAUUCCACAUUGCACAUCAAUGUGUGCUAAUGAAAUUAAAUAAUAUGAAGAGAUAAAGCUACGGUGACCAUAUGUCAAGUAGCUAUCCUGCAGAUUUGUAUAUUUUUUAAAACUUAAUUUUAUCCUUUAUUUUAGAAAUAAUAUCGCAAAUUCUUUUCUGAAAAUUAGCAUUCUAGUAUCUAAUGAGCAAAUUUUUAUGCAAACAAAUUUAAUUUUGUGCAAUAUAAUUUGUGUCUUUCGUCAAUUAUGCUUUUUAAUUUUUUAAAUUAAAAUUAUUUAAAUUAAAUCUGUGUAUGUUUCAUUUUUUAUUAUUUUGGACCGAUUUUAUAUUAAAACUAAGAGUUAACUUCUUUUUAAUACAGCUGAAUAAUACAGUUUCAAAUUAUUAAAAAAAUUGCACGGUGUAUAUAAUUCUCAUAUAUUGCGAAAAAUUUUUUAAUAAAAACAUCGAGCCUUGCCAUGUGUGUGGCUAAUCUCUUCUCGGAAGCAGAGCUUUCGCGUUUUCAUGUGACAUUUGGCACGCGCCAAGCGCGAUCCGAAGCGCUAGAGUUUUUUCUUUUUCACGAAUUUUCUCUUCCGAUUCUCAAAGCCAAUCAGCUACUUGCCCCCUCCCACGGUUCGCCAGGCAACUCAGUACCAACGCGAACACGCGAGGGGAAGGUUACGUCGUUUACUCUUCGCGAUCGUGCGUUUUUCGACUCCGCAAGAGUCGUCUUUUUAGUACCGCGAAGUGAGAUCUCAUCGCGUUCCUCGCCGUCCUCUCGUCGGUCGAGAGUGAAUUUCCCCGCGGGAGGCAUCGCCGGGGAUGUCAGUGUCCGGCGUACGCAACGAAAAGUGUCGCGUCGCCGCCAUUAAUUGUCUCGUCUUUUUAGUGCCGCGAGGUAAGAUCUCGUCGCGUUUCUCGCCGUCCUCUCGUCGGUCGAGAGCGAGUUUCCCCGCGGAAGGCAUCGCCGGGGAUGUCGAACCGAGCCGAUGCCGUGCAAAGUAGUCGCGUCCCUCGCGUCCCUCUCCCCUCUCGCCUGUGAGAAAUGGCGCGAAAAUCGGUUGAAUUUUUUGUCGCGUCGUGUGCACAGUGACGGUCAUGUGCGACGCGGUUCAUGUACAACGGUCGCCCGCGUUCGUGUCGUGGUCCCCGUGUCCCCGUUUCCGUUCGAUCUCGUCGCGUCCCCACGUCUUCUCGUCGAUCGAGAGCGAGUUUCCUUGCGGAAGGCGUCACCGGGGAUGCCAGUUUCCGGCGUAUGCAACGAAGAGUGUCGCGUCGCUGCCAUUGUCUCGUCUUUUGAAUGCCGCGAGGUGAGAGCUCGUCGCGUUCCUCGCCGUCCUCCUCUCGUCGAGAGCGAGUAUCCCUGCGGAAGGCAUCGCCGGGGAUGUCGAACCGAGUCGACGACAUUAAUCGGCGUGCAAAGUGGUCGCGUCUCUCGCGUCGUUAGCAUUUCCGAUCGUGUCGAGUGCGCGUGUGUGUGUGUGUGUGUGUGUGUGUGCGCGAACGCAUCGAGGAAAACAUCAUCGAUUCAUUGGCUGCAGCACUAUCGAGGAUUUACUACCUUCAUCGACAAAUCGUGAAAUGGCAUGACAAACAAUUUCAAGUUUAGGACAUAUGAGACACAUGUACGAAAGGUGAUGCUGCUACCGCUUUUAAGAUACUUCUUGGUAAGUGAUUUGUUUUCAUAAUGCACAAUUUGUCUUAUAAAUAACUCGCUCUCGUUCAUAGAGUUCCAUGCUCAAAAUAAGCUCAUUUUGCAACAGGCUGAGUGCUAUCGGACUCUAUAUGAAUUCGAAGAUAUAAUUAGUUCGAAUAAAUGAUAUAACUAUUGUUAUCAUUUACUCGAAACAAUUUUUGUACAUUACACGACUUAACUAAUUGUUGUUAUAGUUAUCGAUAUUAUCUGUAAUAUUUCCAUUGUGGAAGUAUUUGUAUUAUUUUUAUAUUAUUUGCAAAAUUUAUCACUACGUAAACCAAUUGCUCUCCAUCAGCUUUUCUGUAA
Monomorium pharaonis (pharaoh ant) is the source of this 2108-nucleotide long non-coding RNA. RefSeq lists it as uncharacterized. The record is from RefSeq and is a predicted model, not a curated record. The transcript is spliced from 2 exons. NCBI's taxonomy places the organism in Eukaryota, Metazoa, Arthropoda, Insecta, Hymenoptera, Formicidae.